RNAcentral lists this ribosomal RNA (667 nucleotides) under Helvella fallax. RNAcentral describes it as "eukaryotic LSU rRNA". It matches the Rfam family "Eukaryotic large subunit ribosomal RNA", at positions 119 to 796 of the family's 3401-position model. The record is from RNAcentral. Lineage: Eukaryota; Fungi; Ascomycota; Pezizomycetes; Pezizales; Helvellaceae.
AAUCUGGGGUCGCCAGACCUCCGAGUUGUAAUUUGGAGAGGCAUCUUCGGGGAGGAGCGCCGGCCCAUGUUCCUUGGAACAGGACGUCGCAGAGGGUGAGAAUCCCGUGCCAGGCCGGCUGCCUCCUCCAUUGUGAAGUGCCUUCGACGAGUCGAGUUGUUUGGGAAUGCAGCUCCAAGUGGGUGGUAAAUUUCAUCUAAAGCUAAAUACCGGCGGGAGACCGAUAGCGCACAAGUAGAGUGAUCGAAAGAUGAAAAGCACUUUGAAAAUAGAGUCAAAAAGUACGUGAAAUUGUUGAAAGGGAAGCGCUUGAGACCAGACUCGGGCCCGGGCAAACAUCGCGCCCCUCGGGGCCGUGCAAUUGCCUGGGGCCGGGCCAGCAUCAGUUGGCGCGGCGGGACAAAGGCGCGGGGAAUGUGGCUCCCCUCGGGGAGUGUUAUUAGCCCCGCGCUCAAUGCCGCCGACGUCGACUGAGGACAGCGCCUCGGCCUGGAUGCUGGCUUAAUGGCCUUCAGCGACCCGUCUUGAAACACGGACCAAGGAGUCUAACAUCUAUGCGAGUGUUUGGGCGUCAAACCCUUGCGCGGAAUGAAAGUGAGCGGAGGUGGGAACCCCCUCGCGGGGCGCACCAUCGACCGAUCCUGAUGUCUUCGGAUGGAUUUGAGUA